RNAcentral lists this ribosomal RNA (39 nucleotides) under Comparettia schaeferi. RNAcentral describes it as "partial 26S ribosomal RNA". Lineage: Eukaryota; Viridiplantae; Streptophyta; Magnoliopsida; Asparagales; Orchidaceae. The record is from RNAcentral. RNAcentral also lists the same sequence under 5 other names.
GCGACCCCAGGAUGGGUGAGGCCACCCGCUGAGUUUAAG